UAUAAUGGUCAAACUGUUUGCUGCCAGAGAGAUGCCUGAACUUUAGGAUUGUUAAAGUGAACCACUGUUCCUUGGUUUAUAAACAUAUCCACCUCUUCGAUACUAGAGAUAUUGUUUACCCCUAACUUCUUUAGGAGAACUGAAGUUUUUCAUCAUCUGCUAUGGCUAUUCUAUGAUCCACUUUCUUAUUUUGAUAAACCCAGUCUGAUUCCCUCUUAAAUUUGGAAGCCAUCUUGCCACAAAGGCAUAAAAAACUAAUUUCGGUUUUACUAUAAAUUACUGCAAAUUCUAAACUGCUUGGAAUGCCUGCCCGUACCUUGAACUCACCCAUGCCUAACUUUCCUUGACCAGAUAACAACCCUCUCUGAGGCUCUAAUGACCUUCAUAAAUUCUGAUGUCAGGACCAGCAAAAAUAUAAACUAGCCUCUGUGUUAUGCAAGUCAGGGUUUUGUUAUCUGUAACCCCCGCUUUGUGUAAUUUUCUGGGCUAUAAAGCUGCACUUCUAGAAAGCUGCGGGCCUGUCUUUGGCUCCCGUGGUUUUUGUUGGGAGAGGCAGCCCGGCCGUGGAAAUAAUAAGCUUGCUUUAAUUUGAUUUUAAUUGGAGUCAUGGUCUUUUCUUUGCUUCGUGGUCUAACAAUUCUGCAAGCAGUUCUUUUCCCACCACUGUGCACUUGUGCCUGAAGUUGGGCGAGUUGUUCCUGGUUCAUGAUAGUUUCUUUCAUCUUGUCAAGCAGAAAUGGGGCCACAUGGGGGACUGGGGUUGGUGUUCAGGAGAUCUCAUGUUGACCAGCUAAGAUUAGAGCACAUACGUCUUUUCUUACUCAAGUACUAUAGUAUACCUUGCCAAUUUUACCAAAUGACCAUGCUUCCUUCAGCAGUUCUAUCAGAUCUUUAAAAAUUCAUGCUAAAGAGAGAAAGAAGUUGGAAAUCAAU
RNAcentral lists this long non-coding RNA (933 nucleotides) under Marmota monax (woodchuck). The record is from RNAcentral. Lineage: Eukaryota; Metazoa; Chordata; Mammalia; Rodentia; Sciuridae.